RNAcentral lists this ribosomal RNA (393 nucleotides) under uncultured bacterium. Its description in RNAcentral is "partial 16S ribosomal RNA". It matches the Rfam family "Bacterial small subunit ribosomal RNA", at positions 523 to 918 of the family's 1533-position model. The record is from RNAcentral.
AUACGGAGGAUGCGAGCGUUAUCCGGAUUUAUUGGGUUUAAAGGGAGCGUAGGUGGGAUAUUAAGUCAGCUGUGAAAGUUUGGGGCUCAACCUUAAAAUUGCAGUUGAUACUGGUUUCCUUGAGUACGGUACAGGUGGGCGGAAUUCGUGGUGUAGCGGUGAAAUGCUUAGAUAUCACGAAGAACUCCGAUCGCGAAGGCAGCUCACCGGGCCGGAACUGACUCUGAUGCUCGAAAGUGCGGGUAUCAAACAGGAUUAGAUACCCUGGUAGUCCGCACAGUAAACGAUGAAUACUCGCUGUUUGCGAUACACUGUAAGCGGCCAAGCGAAAGCGUUAAGUAUUCCACCUGGGGAGUACGCCGGCAACGGUGAAACUUAAAGGAAUUGACGGGG